RNAcentral lists this unclassified non-coding RNA (20 nucleotides) under Mus musculus (house mouse). RNAcentral's name for it is "oocyte_clustered_small_RNA7685". The record is from RNAcentral. Lineage: Eukaryota; Metazoa; Chordata; Mammalia; Rodentia; Muridae.
UCUUGCGCGCCCCCGACUAG